This 372-nucleotide ribosomal RNA is filed under the name uncultured organism. RNAcentral's name for it is "bacterial SSU rRNA". It matches the Rfam family "Bacterial small subunit ribosomal RNA", at positions 526 to 896 of the family's 1533-position model. The record is from RNAcentral.
CGAAGGGGGCUAGCGUUACUCGGAUUGACUGGGCGUAAAGGGCGCGUAGGCGGUUUGUACAGUCAGGCGUGAAAUUCCUGGGCUCAACCUGGGGGCUGCGUUUGAUACGUAUGGGCUUGAGUUCGGAAGAGGGUCGUGGAAUUCCCAGUGUAGAGGUGAAAUUCGUAGAUAUUGGGAAGAACACCGGUGGCGAAGGCGGCGACCUGGUCCGAUACUGACGCUGAGGCGCGAAAGCGUGGGGAGCAAACAGGAUUAGAUACCCUGGUAGUCCACGCCGUAAACGAUGUGCGCUGGAUGUUGGGUGACCUAGUCACUCAGUGUCGUAGCUAAACGCGAUAAGCGCACCGCCUGGGGAGUACGGCCGCAAGGUUG